GUGUAACAAGUGUUUCAAUACUAACACCGUUACUAGAAUGGAUAAAAUCAGGUAAGUAUGGACCAGAUCAGAAGACAACAGAUUCGACUCGAGAGAGAGAGGCGGUUUGCACAUCAAGAAUGAAGCACACGGAAGCAGGAUCUGUAUUUCAAAGGUCGAUCACAUGGGUGGCUCGCCAGUCCGUGCGCCGCUGUAGCUCUCCAGGGAAGGCAAGCAGGGGCGGACGAAUCCAGGAUCCAGCACAGCAGUUCAAAUCCAACAACAAAAAAACAACACACACAAAAAAAAAAAAAAACCCGGCCAAG
Molecule: long non-coding RNA, 305 nt
Organism: Anguilla anguilla (European eel)
Lineage: Eukaryota; Metazoa; Chordata; Actinopteri; Anguilliformes; Anguillidae
Exons: 2
Source: RefSeq, a predicted model, not a curated record